This 497-nucleotide ribosomal RNA is filed under the name uncultured bacterium. Its description in RNAcentral is "partial 16S ribosomal RNA". It matches the Rfam family "Bacterial small subunit ribosomal RNA", at positions 28 to 507 of the family's 1533-position model. The record is from RNAcentral.
GAUGAACGCUGGCGGCGUGCCUAAUACAUGCAAGUCGAGCGAACAGACGAGGAGCUUGCUCCCCUGACGUUAGCGGCGGACGGGUGAGUAACACGUGGAUAACCUACCUAUUAGACUGGGAUAACUUCGGGAAACCGGAGCUGAUACCGGAUAAUAUAUUCAACCGCUUGGUUCAAUAGUGAAUGACGGCUUUGCUGUUACUGUUAGAUGGAUCCGCGCCGCAUUAGCUAGUUGGUAAGGUAACGGCUUACCAAGGCAACGAUGCGUAGCCGACCUGAGAGGGUGAUCGGCCACACUGGAACUGAGACACGGUCCAGACUCCUACGGGAGGCAGCAGUAGGGAAUCUUCCGCAAUGGGCGAAAGCCUGACGGAGCAACGCCGCGUGAGUGAUGAAGGUCUUCGGAUCGUAAAACUCUGUUAUUAGGGAAGAACAAAUGUGUAAGUAACUAUGCACGUCUUGACGGUACCUAAUCAGAAAGCCACGGCUAACUACGUG